RNAcentral lists this non-coding RNA (31 nucleotides) under Mus musculus (house mouse). Lineage: Eukaryota; Metazoa; Chordata; Mammalia; Rodentia; Muridae. The record is from RNAcentral.
UAAAAGAUGUUAUUAUGUCUUAAGGAUCACC